This 489-nucleotide ribosomal RNA is filed under the name uncultured bacterium. RNAcentral describes it as "partial 16S ribosomal RNA". It matches the Rfam family "Bacterial small subunit ribosomal RNA", at positions 29 to 507 of the family's 1533-position model. The record is from RNAcentral.
AGUGAACGCUGGCGGUAGGCCUAACACAUGCAAGUCGAACGGCAGCACAGUAAGAGCUUGCUCUUACGGGUGGCGAGUGGCGGACGGGUGAGGAAUACAUCGGAAUCUACUUUUUCGUGGGGGAUAACGUAGGGAAACUUACGCUAAUACCGCAUACGACCUACGGGUGAAAGCAGGGGAUCUUCGGACCUUGCGCGAUUGAAUGAGCCGAUGUCGGAUUAGCUAGUUGGCGGGGUAAAGGCCCACCAAGGCGACGAUCCGUAGCUGGUCUGAGAGGAUGAUCAGCCACACUGGAACUGAGACACGGUCCAGACUCCUACGGGAGGCGGCAGUGGGGAAUAUUGGACAAUGGGCGCAAGCCUGAUCCAGCCAUACCGCGUGGGUGAAGAAGGCCUUCGGGUUGUAAAGCCCUUUUGGGAAAGAAAAGCAGCAGGUUAAUACCCCGCUGUUCUGACGGUACCCAAAGAAUAAGCACCGGCUAACUUCGUG